RNAcentral lists this small RNA (7191 nucleotides) under Rattus norvegicus (Norway rat). RNAcentral describes it as "uncharacterized LOC100911239". The record is from RNAcentral. Lineage: Eukaryota; Metazoa; Chordata; Mammalia; Rodentia; Muridae.
GAGAAGAAAAUGUUUUUCUCACUUGGCCUUAAACUAUGUUCUGCUGUGUCCUGUUUCUGUGGAAGCGGUUCUCAAACUCUCUUGGUAAAGACAAGUAUACUUUGAUGAUAAGAAGAGGGGUGAUUUGUUAUGUGAAUAUUUUGAGAAGAAACCUUUGUUUAGUAGUAUUUCUUUGUUUAGUCUUGCCUCAGUUGUUCCUGGUAUCAUGGGAAUAAUGAUCUUAUGGUAUCUUGCCAAAAUGGAAAUUGUAGUAAUACAUAUUCAUAGCUAUAUAAGGAUUAAUAAAGCUUGCAACUGUGUGCAGUCGCUUCUGCCUUUGCUCUGCACCCCAUGUCCUGGUUGUGUUUGACCAUACCCAGGGCCCCCAAUGCAAUAGAUGUUGACAACAACUCUCCCACCACCUCACAGACUCUCUGAAGAUUGGCUGCCACCAUUGCUUUUAAUAGUCCGCAGAUGUGAUGUCCCCUAAAGUUGUGCUUCAUGAUGCCUUGAAAAAUCUCCAUGCUCACCUGAGAACUCUAAACCUCCAGACUCUGGUUCUGGGUGCACUGCUGCCUUUUAUCAAGUGUUAUUAGCGAUGAUUGGUUCAUUUAUUACACUUGUCUUUAGACAAAUAAUUAAAGGUAACCUCUUUCUUCUAGAUCACGGAAAAGAGUAGUGUCUUUAUUCCUGUUUCGUCCUUACAAGCCAGACAGUUAAGUUUAAUGGGGGCACAAUAUAAUUUGCAUUUGAAACUCAGGAAUCUCUCUUGAUUGCUGAGACUGGAGCUUCAGUCUAUGGGGUUUACUGGUCUUCAGAGAAUUUAUAAAAACAGGUGUCGAAUGAUGGUGUCAUGUGUUGACCGGCUAGAGAGGAACACAGUGCUUUCAAGCUAUACAAACUAAAGCAAUCCUUCUGGCUACUAUCUCUUAUUAACAAGGACCUGAAGGUUGGAUGGCAUACAACUCCAGAUUGAAUUGUGGUCAAUUCCAGAUUUAACUUCAGGUCUUCUGGUACCCAGACAGUGACCUACAUCACAUCUCUGUAUCUUCUCUUCAAAACUGUUUGUUUCCUCUCUCCCAACUAUUUUCAUUUAAUCUUCCGGAAUGAUUAGCAAAGCAGGCUAAAUAGAUGAAGUCAAUGGAGGCCAGCAAGGUUAAAUGACUGGUCCCUAGGUCUACGGUGACUCUUACAGAGGAAGGAAGAUUUAGGAAUAAAAAUGGAUGUUUGCUGCUUUAGAAGUCAAAGAUUCUAUAUUUUUGGAUUCUCUAUAGUCAUGUUAUUGGCAAAUUAAACCAGCAGUAUUUUCAAGUUCCUAGCUAUAUAGUAGCUGAUUUACUUUAGGGCUUAAUAUUAACUUUUUCAAAGAAAUGAGUUUGGUUGCAAUUUUGACGGACAGAGAAUGGAGAUAUUUACAUAAAACCAUUACCUUUUAAACAAAAAGGCUUCAAGGACCAAUACCUAUAAAACUUAUCAAUCUCACACCUCCAAGUAGCAGGGGGACCUGGUUCUUUUUUCUGUGUAAGGAUCUGCAGUGUUGGUUCUUGAUGUUUCCAAUGUCACCGUAGACAUGUCAUAACUAUUCCAGCCUGUUUUGUGCCUGCUUGAUCUGGAAACAAGCUCACAGGAACCAUGGCUGCAUCCAUUGAUCACUUACUAUGGCCAAGACAUAAGCAGGAGGCGAGACUUGUCAAGACAAAGUGGAUGCUCUAGUACUCUAUGUGGUAAACCAUAGAGCAUCAAGAUUUUAGUGGCAUAGAAUGUCUUCAAGGGGUCUGGUCAAAGAAGUGUCAUCUAAGUAAGGGACAGUCAAAGGUUUUCAGAAGUAGCUAAGCUUUGGAAAGGUGGCAGGACUCAGAGAAGAGGGAUAAAAAGAAAAGGGACCGUGAGCAGAAAAGAUGGUCUUUAGAGAUGCUGAAAUCAAAGAAAUGCUCCUUAGACUUUGUUAAAGCUUUCCACGAUUUUAAAUUUAUUUAUUUUUUUCUUCUUGUGUAUUUCCCUGAGAAAACAGAAGCUGUCCUGAAGAGAGAAGAUACCAAGCUACUUUUCCAGUAGGCAAAAUCUAUGAAAUCCUUGCCAGCCACUGUAGCUGGGAACUGGGCUACAAACCUGUGAAGGAGUUUGAACAAGUUUAUUUCCUUGCUCAGUUGAGAAAAGACCCUGGAGUAGGCACAUGGUCCGAUGGGACAGAAAACAAGAAAACAGGGGCACGGACAGCUUCUUCCUCCACACCUUCUGAAAGGGUUUUCUGAUCAGCAUUUCUAACAGUGUGCACAUUUUUCAUGUCCCUUUAAGGUGUGCUUCAUGAUGCAUAGAGUCUCUAUGCUCACCUGAGAUCUCUAGCCCUCCACAGACUGGUUCUGGGUGUGUCGCUGCCAUUGAUCAUGCUUUAUUCAUGAUGGUUGACUCACUUGCCACACUUAGUCUCAAACAAAUUUAUUAAAGCCUGAUCCUUUAAAAACCAAAUCCUCUCCUUUAUCUGUGUACAAAUCUUUUGUGCCACAAACAGCUAUUGUAUUCUUGCUACCUGGUGUUUCAAGUUUUGCAACAGACUCUAUACUAUAUUAUUUUCAGGAAAAAUCCAGACUAAGACAACACAAAAUAAGUCCCAUGAAUAUGGAUACACACUCUAUGCAGCCUUAUUUAAUAAGGCAGAUUUAAUUGCAGAAUAGAAGAGGCACAGAAUUCCAUUCACUUUGAAAGAAUGGGGUUGCCUGGACACACUGUACCUAGAGCACCAGGGCUGCAUCUCUUGGCCCAACAACCUCAGCAUGUGCCUCCUUCCUUUGCCCCUGCUGCCAAGCCAUUCACACUCAUUUUUUCCUGGGUGGCUUCUUUCUUUCCCUUCCUACUUCCCAGAUCCCAUUUCAUCAUACUGUAUCUUCCAGGUUCACUGCUGCAUCUGAGGAUGCUACAUCAGGGCCGCAUGACUUUUAGAUCAACCAAAAGCAGCUAUGAAGACACAAUCACUGGCCACAUUUUCAGUCAAAUUUCAGACAAUUAGGUUGGUGAAAACUGUCAAUAUUUACUGGAAAUUGCAGGUACAUGUUUUCAGUGUUACCAUCAUGUCUUUUAAGUGGAUUUUCGUAAUUAUUUUCCAAAUCAUUUGUAAGUCUAACAUGGGUGCUGAAAGGACCUAAGGAACACGUCUGGAGCAUGUAGUAACAAUAUGCCAAGAAUAUUUACACACACAAUGAGAAAGGGUGACAGUGGUGCCUAUCAAAAAGAAAAAGCAAAACUGGAAGGGACAAUUACACAAAUUGAAUAUAGUGCUGACAUGCUGCACAAAGAGAAUUACAGAGCUGUAGAACCAAGAAAACAGAACCUUCCCAAAGAGAAUAAUAUCUGAGGGCUUUCUUCCUUAACUUUUAUAAGCUACUACCUGGUAUGUUUUCCCCUCUUUCUAGCAAAUAUGAAAACCUUUCCAAUUAAGCUGCUCAAAUGCAAUUCAUUGGAUCAAAGGUUACAAUAAAGAGAAAAAUCCUGACAAUCUCCACAUCACCUGGAAUGUAUUUAGUUAAUAGCUUGAAUUUUAAAAUUAUUUCAGGUUCAAAAUUUCUCAAAAAUUAAAAAAGUGGGUAAAAGAAAUGAUUCUUCUUAAAAUAUUCAACAAAUUUUCAAUUUUACAUCUGAAGGGAAACUUAAAAAAAUACCUUAGAAAUGUCCUAGGUAGAAAGAAGACUGAAUUAAAAUGUGUUGUAUUACAUUGUUUCUAACAAAAAUCAAUUUCCUGGUAAGAAAUUAAUAAAAAUAGACAACCUUCACAGAUGUAUAGGAAUUGAGCUAAAAAGUAAAGUAACCCAUUCCAAAGUUAUUAAACCAGACAUGCUGUUAUCACAAUAGUAAAUAGAUGGAUUUUACAGACAAAAAUACAUUUUCUAUAUAAAUAGAUCUUCAAUUAAAAUAAUUGUAAAAUGAAUCACAAGACCACAUUUCCAAGUUUCUGAAAAGAUAGUUUAUAACUCUGAAACCAGUUAAAAACCAGAGAUUACUCAAAAUCAUACACUCCAUUCCUUCUAUUUUUUAAAUUACUAAUUUCUUUAACAAGUUUAAAAUUAUACAUUAGAACUUUAUAAGUUUUAAUCUUUAUUCAAGGGAAAACAAAAAGUUAAAGAGUUCCUCAAAAUUCUUCCCACAUGAUGCAUAUCCAUUAUGUAAUACUAAACUCCCGGUUUAGAGAUAAAUCCAUAAAUUCUAAGUUUUAAAAACCCACAAAGAUGAUUUUGAUUUGCAACUGUGGAAUAUGACAGGCAGUAUAAAAACACAGGGUCCAGUCAGGAGUCUUGAAGGCUGUGUUUUCAUGUGGAGGACAUUCCUCCACAAAGGAGUCAGACUUUGGUUCACAGUUUGUAAGCUCUGCAAAACUUUUGUUAUGAUAGGUUGCUACCCACAGAGGAAGUUAUUCAUAAACAAAAUAACCUUGUAGUUUAUGAUUUUAAUGCAAGCCAUUGUAACUCUUCUUUGGGUCUGAAUUUUUAAUCAGCUGGUACUUAAUGUGAACUAUAACCAGGGAAAGUGCAUAAUGCUAAAUUAACAUAAAAUAUAAGUUAUAGCAGAAGAAAAAUAAGAGGACACCAAGAGAGUUGAAAUCUGGUUCAUUGUUUGGGGGUUGUUUUUGUACAUUACCCAAGAGAUCUUGCAAUCUAAACCAUGACAUUUCUAAUCUAGUUGGUAACAGUUGUUUUCUAACACCAUAAUUAAAAAUAGUACACAGUGUAGUACACUCUUCUGUUAAAAGAUAUUUACCACUUAUUAUUUUUUGAGUAAAUUACUUACUUAAAUAAAUGUGACACCAUGUGCUUAUUCCUACAGUUAUUUAUUGACUAUUAUUUUUAGAUAAGCAAAUACAUUGUUUUAAAAUGCGUUGAUAAGUGUGAACAGGGAGCUAUCACUGUAUCUUCAGCUAAAGGCCUAGUGAUUGGGAAUGAUACUUUUAUAAAUAUAAAAUCUAAUAAUUUGCUUUGCGUAUAUGAAUGCCUGAAACCAUUAGACAAAAUUUGCUCAGAAGCUGGGUUUUAUUUUAGAAGAUGUACUCAAACACAAAAUGUGCUUUAUAAGUUAAGUUUAGAGGCACAUCAUUAUCCAUUUUUAUUACUUAAAAAGACACUACAACACAUCUGUAGUAAAAAAAAAAAAAAACAAACAAACAGUUUCCAGUUUUCUAUAGUAACUCUUAUCCCUUUAACUUUGCUUCAUUUUGUAACAGGAUCAAUUUUUAAAAGGAAAAAAAAAUCUAUCAUGAAAUUAGUAACAUGCUCUAAUAAAAUACAAAACAUUCUUACAAGCAAUAUUUCCAAUUUAAACAGAAUUUUGUUCACAUUUCUACAAAGUGCAGUAAUUCCCCCUCCUGUAUUUUCUCUCUCUUUCUUUAACAUGUUUAAAAGUUUCAAGUUCUACAGAUAGAGAUUUGGGGAAACAUCGAAUUAUUUUCAAAGAUGUCUAUUUUCCUUUACUCCUUGCACAAAGGGGAACUUUCUUCCCCUUCUCCAAAAAUCUCAUUCUUACCUGAAGUAAUUGCAUCCAACUUUUCCUCAGGUAAAAGAGACAGUCUUACAAAAUUUCAAAAUCACCAAUGAAGCACUUAAAGUAAGCACUCUUCUUUAUGCGUGUCCCUUACUUUGCAGUUUUUUUUUUUUUAUUCUGAAAUGGAAUCUUUUUAGCUCUCCACAAAUACCUUGGUGAGCCCUCAACACUUCCUAACCACUUAAUAAUUUUGACCCAGUCAGCCUCUUCAAAUAGAUCUUUAACCACAAGAAUGCUUGCAAUCCCCCGAACAUAGCCUCUGUCCAAAAGGAAAAGAUAGGAUUUUGUGAGGCCUAAAUGAAGUGAGAGAAAACAAAAUAAAUGUAGCUGAAGCUGAGAGUGAAAAGUGCUUGGACAGAUUGGUAUUUUCUUUUCUGCACUGCAUCCUGCCAAUCUUCUUCCCCCAUACCCCACUCCUUAAUUAGGUCCGAAUUUGGCAUGUAGGAAAAUGUUAUCUACCACCUCAAGUCCCCCCAUAAUUACUAAUGUUUUGUUUUAAUGGGUCUUCAUCCGACUGAUAUACUGCCCCCGCUUCACCCUGUCAACACCCCAACUCUGGGAGACCUUAGUUGUAGAAACCCUGCGGACCCCCGACGACUCAUCCCACCGGAUCCCUUUCAUAUGAUUUUUUUUUUCAGUCGUGAGAUUCCCCCACUGGAGAGGUUGCAGUGACAACCAGAAAUUUUCAUUUAACUCUCCCCUGCCUUCCUGGGCCCCAAUUUUGACCCGAUCGCUGUGGAGCAGCACAGCAGGGGCCGGCCUGGCUCCUUUGCUCCGGAAGGGUUUAAUUGCACACUCGCCUCCCGGUGGGUUUCAGGCCCCAAGGCUCGAAGAUCCCCGCCCAGCCGCGGAGCCUCCUCUACUUGGAUCCCUAGCCUCAGCUAGAGACUCGAGGACCCUGAGCCUCCCCGGCCGCCCAGAGGGCGGCGCCCUCCGGGGUACCUCCGCCCUUCGCUGCUGUGCCCACCCCCUGCCGGCAGAGCGCCUCUCGCCUGGGCCGCAGUAGUCAGUGAUCUGCUCCAUUGGGCGAACACCUUCGUUGGCCGACAUACACUCCAGCUUCGCAGGAGGCGGGCGCCGCUAGACCGCAGGUUAAGAGAUUGUGGCCAGACUAUAUAAUCGCUCCGGAGCGGGAAGAGGAGGGAUCAGCGCUCUCCUACUGCGGUAGCGCAGCGAUUUGGCUAGGCUGAGUGUGUCUGCAGCUAUGCCCAGCUUGCUCCGGCAGGCGAGGAGAUAGGUCCUUCCAGCCUGGAGGCUGCAAGUGUGACUCCUAGUGUCCUCUAGACGACACCUCUAAGGAAAGAGUGCGCACCGGGGUUCCAAUGUGCCUCGCCGCUGGCAGCCUCCAGCCAGCACUGAGAAGGACAGCCUGAGCCUCAGCCACCAGUAGUGUGAGUGCUUGGCAUAGAUCUGGGAAGGCGCCUACAGGAAGUCUUUCAAGAGUGAAGACCUGAAGAAAGGCUGCGGCUUCGUGGCUCCGAAGAGCCUCCAAGUGCAGACCCGCAAGGAGGCCAUGCCACUCUUCACCAUCCAGGAGGUGGCUGGCAAGAGGACCUGGAGACCUUUGAGCACCCCAACGUGGUCAGGCAGAUUCGGGUUGGAGAGAACAGUGCAACAGACUCAACAGUCAAAGAUAAUGUAAAGCGGAAAAAGCUACUGGUCCAAAACAUACAGGAAAUUCAGGACUCA